GACGAACGCUGGCGGCGUGCCUAAUACAUGCAAGUUGAGCGCUGAAGGUUGGUACUUGUACCAACUGGAUGAGCAGCGAACGGGUGAGUAACGCGUGGGGAAUCUGCCUUUGAGCGGGGGACAACAUUUGGAAACGAAUGCUAAUACCGCAUAAAAACUUUAAACACAAGUUUUAAGUUUGAAAGAUGCAAUUGCAUCACUCAAAGAUGAUCCCGCGUUGUAUUAGCUAGUUGGUGAGGUAAAGGCCCACCAAGGCGAUGAUACAUAGCCGACCUGAGAGGGGGAUCGGCCACAUUGGGACUGAGACACGGCCCAAACCCCUACGGGAGGCAGCAGUAGGGGAUCUUCGGCAAUGGACGAAAGUCUGAACGAGCAACGCCGCGUGAGUGAAGAAGGUUUUCGGAUCGGAAAAAUCUGUUGGUAGAGAAGAACGUUGGUGAGAGUGGAAAGCUCAUCAAGUGACGGUAACUACCCAGAAAGGGACGGCUAACUACGUG
RNAcentral lists this ribosomal RNA (497 nucleotides) under uncultured bacterium. RNAcentral describes it as "partial 16S ribosomal RNA". It matches the Rfam family "Bacterial small subunit ribosomal RNA", at positions 28 to 507 of the family's 1533-position model. The record is from RNAcentral.